This 624-nucleotide ribosomal RNA is filed under the name uncultured organism. RNAcentral's name for it is "bacterial SSU rRNA". It matches the Rfam family "Bacterial small subunit ribosomal RNA", at positions 762 to 1396 of the family's 1533-position model. The record is from RNAcentral.
AGGGGAGCGAACAGGAUUAGAGACCCUGGUAGUCAUAGCCCUUAACGAUGGAUGCUGGAAGAGGGACCAUAGCGAUCAGCGUAGAAACGAACGCGUUAAGCAUCCCGCAUGGGGAAUACGACCGCAAGGUUAAAACUCAAACCGAAUUGACGGGACCCCGCACAAGCAGCGGUAGCGAUGUGGUUUAAUUCGAUGCUACACGAAGAACGAUACACUGGGUUCGACAUCUAGGUGGUAGUGAAACGAAAGCGGAGCGACCCUUCGGGGAGCCUAGACAGAUGCUGCAUGGCUGUCGUCAGCUCGUGCCGUGAGUCUGUCGGGUUAAGUCCCGUAACGAGCGCAACCCUUGCCGUCCGUUAUACGUGUCAGAGGGGACCGCCGGCGGUAAGCCGGAGGAAGCUGGGGAUGACGUCAAGUCAGCAUGGCCUGUAUAUCCAGGGAUACACACACGGUACAAUGGCCAGUACAAAGGGCAGCGAAGCCGCGAGGUGGAGAGAAUCCCAGCAAAGCUGGUAGUAGGUCGGAACGCAGGAUGCAACCCGCCUGCAUGAAGCUGGAGUUGCUAGUAACCGCGCGUCAGCUAUAGUGCGGUGAAUACGUUCCCGGGCUUGUACACACCGCCCG